Molecule: ribosomal RNA, 494 nt
Filed under: uncultured bacterium
Lineage: Bacteria
Description: partial 16S ribosomal RNA
Rfam family: Bacterial small subunit ribosomal RNA
Source: RNAcentral
GACGAACGCUGGCGGCGCGCUUAACACAUGCAAGUCGAACGGAAACGCCUGCUUUCCCUUGUGGAUUGCGGGUACUCGAGUGGCGAACGGGUGAGUAACACGUGAGUGAUCUGCCCCCAACUUGGGUAUAAGCCUGGGAAACUGGGUCUAAUUCCCGAUAGGACUGCAGGGUGGUGCCUGUGGUGGAAAACGAUUUUCUAGUGGUUGGGGAUGAGCUCGCGGCCUAUCAGCUUGUUGGUGGGGUAAUGGCCUACCAAGGCGGCGACGGGUAGCCGGCCUGGGAGGGUGGACGGCCACAUUGGGACUGAGAUACGGCCCAGACUCCUACGGGAGGCAGCAGUGGGGAAUAUUGCACAAUGGGCGGAAGCCUGAUGCAGCGACGCCGCGUGGGGGAUGACGGCCUUCGGGUUGUAAACUCCUUUCGACCGCGAGGAAGCCACCGGGUUGGAAGGGUGGUGACGGUAGUGGUAGAAGAAGCACCGGCUAACUACGUG